GGAAGAGUGGCUGAAGGCGGCGGCUUGCUAAGCCGUUAUGCGGGGACAUCCGCAUCGAGGUUCGAAUCCCUCCUCUUCCGCCA
RNAcentral lists this transfer RNA (83 nucleotides) under Mesorhizobium onobrychidis. RNAcentral describes it as "Mesorhizobium sp. OM4 tRNA-Ser". It matches the Rfam family "tRNA". Rfam says of the family: Transfer RNA (tRNA) molecules are approximately 80 nucleotides in length. Their secondary structure includes four short double-helical elements and three loops (D, anti-codon, and T loops). Further hydrogen bonds mediate the characteristic L-shaped molecular structure. tRNAs have two regions of fundamental functional importance: the anti-codon, which is responsible for specific mRNA codon recognition, and the 3' end, to which the tRNAs corresponding amino acid is attached (by aminoacyl-tRNA synthetases). tRNAs cope with the degeneracy of the genetic code in two manners: having more than one tRNA (with a specific anti-codon) for a particular amino acid; and 'wobble' base-pairing, i.e. permitting non-standard base-pairing at the 3rd anti-codon position. The record is from RNAcentral. Lineage: Bacteria; Pseudomonadati; Pseudomonadota; Alphaproteobacteria; Hyphomicrobiales; Phyllobacteriaceae.